AUGCAGGCUCUGAUGGAUGUUCGGUGCAAGAAUCUAGUGAAUCCUGUAUGCGACUGGCUCGGUGAGAUUUACGAGCCCGCCUCCAGGGAAUUUGUGAUUCCGGGACGUGGAAGACUGUCGUUAGACGAGGAAUCCGUGUUCUACACGUUGGGUGUGCCCCGCGGAGAGAUCAAAGUCCCGUAUGAGGUCAAUAAUACGAUUGAGGAAACGUUGUUUGCCCGUUUGUUUCCUGGGUUGACAUCCAUGCCGAACACGACCGUGCUGGCAAAUUCACUUGAGGGCAUGACAACCCCUGGCGAGGUUUUCAAGAUGAAGCUACUCAUGUACCUGAUCUCAGCUGUUUUUGCGUCGACCACAUCUCUUCGCCCAAGCAACAAAUGCUUCCCCAUCCUGGCAAAACUGAAAGAAGUGAAGAACAUGAAUUGGUGUAAGUUCAUUGCGGACUUCCUGCAUGAUGCAUUCUCAAACAAGAUGUACCAGAAGGGUUGUCGGCUCCAUUUAAUGCUCAUGUACGUCGAUCGUCUUGAUCUGUCUACUGUGGACUUUACUGGGAUAGGAGGUCCGCCGCCUCCACACAAGUUUGCUGUUUCUACGUGGACUUACGAUGCUGUCAAGGCGGUGCUUGCCGCGGACAAGAUAACUGGUACGAAAUAG
This 654-nucleotide ribosomal RNA is filed under the name Triticum aestivum (bread wheat). RNAcentral's name for it is "partial small subunit ribosomal RNA". Lineage: Eukaryota; Viridiplantae; Streptophyta; Magnoliopsida; Poales; Poaceae. The record is from RNAcentral.